This 768-nucleotide long non-coding RNA is filed under the name Aotus nancymaae (Ma's night monkey). RNAcentral describes it as "lncRNA (ENSANAG00000038995.1)". Lineage: Eukaryota; Metazoa; Chordata; Mammalia; Primates; Aotidae. The record is from RNAcentral.
UACCGUGUUUCCUAAGAUUAUGUCAUUUUCCUCCAUGUUAAAUUCGAAUGUCUUUGAAAGGAUGUGAGAAAAUCAAGUGUAUUAACACAUUUUUUAUAUCCAUGUUUUUUUCCAAUACAAGUUUUUUCUAUUUUCAAAGAGAGCUGGGAAAGUUGCAUGCUUUCUUGUAUUUCUUCGAUUGAAAGCGUUCUGUCCAGUGAAUGAGUUGGAAAGGCAAUUCUUGAAGCUAAUUAAUUAUAAUAUCCAAGUUCCUGGCAGCAUUUACACCAAAUACUACUUUGAUCUUUGCACUUUGGCACAGGACCAUGCUGUUUGCCUCUUUAUCUCCUUGACAGAGAAAGAACACGGAAGCCGGAGCAUCCUUGAGUAUGGAACUACUUGGAAAAUCCUUUGACAGCUGGCAGAGAAAUCUCCCAGGAAAAUGAGCAAUGGGAAAGCAUGGGGAAGAUGUGCUGAGGAGAGCCCUGCACGCGGAAGGUAGAAGGUGCAGUUGCUCUUCUCUCAGGACUUAGCUUAACAGCUAUAUUUUCCAGUCUGCCUCUCCCAGCUGCCUUAACUUACAUACUAAUGUAACAAAGUUCAUAGCGCCUGCUUUGACAUGAAAUGACAUGCUCUCAUAUAUUGCUAAUUCACUUCUCACUAGAUUUAUGUGGUCUCCCUGAAACACUUUAAGCUCCUAAUUACAGAGUCAUGUCUCCCACAUACUCAUGUCUCAGAGUAUGAUGGAGAAUGCUGACAUACCAGGCGUUUGGUAGACUGGUGGCUACC